UGCUCUUGUGGAUCACUGGCGAACGGGUGAGUAACACGUGAGCAACCUGCCCCUGACUCUGGGAUAAGCGCUGGAAACGGCGUCUAAUACUGGAUAUGUGACGUGACCGCAUGGUCUGCGUUUGGAAAGAUUUUUCGGUUGGGGAUGGGCUCGCGGCCUAUCAGCUUGUUGGUGAGGUAAUGGCUCACCAAGGCGUCGACGGGUAGCCGGCCUGAGAGGGUGACCGGCCACACUGGGACUGAGACACGGCCCAGACUCCUACGGGAGGCAGCAGUGGGGAAUAUUGCACAAUGGGCGAAAGCCUGAUGCAGCAACGCCGCGUGAGGGAUGACGGCCUUCGGGUUGUAAACCUCUUUUAGCAGGGAAGAAGCGAAAGUGACGGUACCUGCAGAAAAAGCGCCGGCUAACUACGUGCCAGCAGCCGCGGUAAUACGUAGGGCGCAAGCGUUAUCCGGAAUUAUUGGGCGUAAAGAGCUCGUAGGCGGUUUGUCGCGUCUGCUGUGAAAUCCCGAGGCUCAACCUCGGGCCUGCAGUGGGUACGGGCAGACUAGAGUGCGGUAGGGGAGAUUGGAAUUCCUGGUGUAGCGGUGGAAUGCGCAGAUAUCAGGAGGAACACCGAUGGCGAAGGCAGAUCUCUGGGCCGUAACUGACGCUGAGGAGCGAAAGGGUGGGGAGCAAACAGGCUUAGAUACCCUGGUAGUCCACCCCGUAAACGUUGGGAACUAGUUGUGGGGUCCAUUCCACGGAUUCCGUGACGCAGCUAACGCAUUAAGUUCCCCGCCUGGGGAGUACGGCCGCAAGGCUAAAACUCAAAGGAAUUGACGGGGACCCGCACAAGCGGCGGAGCAUGCGGAUUAAUUCGAUGCAACGCGAAGAACCUUACCAAGGCUUGACAUAUACGAGAACGGGCCAGAAAUGGUCAACUCUUUGGACACUCGUAAACAGGUGGUGCAUGGUUGUCGUCAGCUCGUGUCGUGAGAUGUUGGGUUAAGUCCCGCAACGAGCGCAACCCUCGUUCUAUGUUGCCAGCACGUAAUGGUGGGAACUCAUGGGAUACUGCCGGGGUCAACUCGGAGGAAGGUGGGGAUGACGUCAAAUCAUCAUGCCCCUUAUGUCUUGGGCUUCACGCAUGCUACAAUGGCCGGUACAAAGGGCUGCAAUACCGUGAGGUGGAGCGAAUCCCAAAAAGCCGGUCCCAGUUCGGAUUGAGGUCUGCAACUCGACCUCAUGAAGUCGGAGUCGCUAGUAAUCGCAGAUCAGCAACGCUGCGGUGAAUACGUUCCCGGGUCUUGUACACACCGCCCGUCAAGUCAUGAAAGUCGGUAACACCUGAAGCCGGUGGCCUAACCCUUGUGGAGGGAGCCGUCGAAGGUGGGAUCGGUAAUUA
RNAcentral lists this ribosomal RNA (1387 nucleotides) under Microbacterium sp. KHG7. RNAcentral describes it as "bacterial SSU rRNA". It matches the Rfam family "Bacterial small subunit ribosomal RNA". Lineage: Bacteria; Bacillati; Actinomycetota; Actinomycetes; Micrococcales; Microbacteriaceae. The record is from RNAcentral.